GUUUCUGUAGUGUAAUGUUAUCACGCUUGCCUAACACCUGUGGUCCUCGGUUCAAACCGGCAGAAACA
This is a non-coding RNA of Albula goreensis, 68 nucleotides long. NCBI's taxonomy places the organism in Eukaryota, Metazoa, Chordata, Actinopteri, Albuliformes, Albulidae. The record is from the annotation of a GenBank genome assembly.